AUGCAGUCGAACGAUGAUCCCCAGCUUGCUGGGGGGAUUAGUGGCGAACGGGUGAGUAACACGUGAGUAACCUGCCCCCGACUCUGGGAUAAGCCCGGGAAACUGGGUCUAAUACCGGAUAUUCACUUCCUUCCGCAUGGAGGGUGGUGGAAAGGUCUUUUCCGGUCGGGGAUGGACUCGCGGCCUAUCAGCUUGUUGGUGGGGUAGUGGCCCACCAAGGCGACGACGGGUAGCCGGCCUGAGAGGGUGACCGGCCACACUGGGACUGAGACACGGCCCAGACUCCUACGGGAGGCAGCAGUGGGGAAUAUUGCACAAUGGGCGCAAGCCUGAUGCAGCGACGCCGCGUGAGGGAUGACGGCCUUCGGGUUGUAAACCUCUUUCAGUAGGGAAGAAGCGAAAGUGACGGUACCUGCAGAAGAAGCGCCGGCUAACUACGUGCCAGCAGCCGCGGUAAUACGUAGGGCGCAAGCGUUAUCCGGAAUUAUUGGGCGUAAAGAGCUCGUAGGCGGUUUGUCGCGUCUGCCGUGAAAGUCCGGGGCUCAACCCCGGAUCUGCGGUGGGUACGGGCAGACUUGAGUGCAGUAGGGGAGACUGGAAUUCCUGGUGUAGCGGUGAAAUGCGCAGAUAUCAGGAGGAACACCGAUGGCGAAGGCAGGUCUCUGGGCUGUAACUGACGCUGAGGAGCGAAAGCAUGGGG
This 700-nucleotide ribosomal RNA is filed under the name Arthrobacter sp. Its description in RNAcentral is "bacterial SSU rRNA". It matches the Rfam family "Bacterial small subunit ribosomal RNA", at positions 55 to 766 of the family's 1533-position model. Lineage: Bacteria; Bacillati; Actinomycetota; Actinomycetes; Micrococcales; Micrococcaceae. The record is from RNAcentral.